RNAcentral lists this ribosomal RNA (494 nucleotides) under uncultured bacterium. RNAcentral's name for it is "partial 16S ribosomal RNA". It matches the Rfam family "Bacterial small subunit ribosomal RNA", at positions 28 to 507 of the family's 1533-position model. The record is from RNAcentral.
GACGAACGCUGGCGGCGUGCUUAAUACAUGCAAGUCGAACGGAAAGGCCUGCUUCUUCUUCUUCAUUGCUGGUACUCGAGCGGCUAACUGGCGCGUAACUCACCUGUGUUCUGCCCCCAACUUGCGUAUAAGAACGGGAACUUGUGCCUAAUUCCCGAUAGUACCGCAGGGUGGUGACUUUGGUGGAGAACUUGCUUCACGUGGCUGUGGAUGGGCUCUCGGUUUAUCAGUUUGUUGGUGGGGUAAUGGCCUACCACGGCGGCGACGGGUAGCCGGCCUGAGAGGGUGGACGGCCACAUUGGGACUGGGAUACGGCCCAGACUCCUACGGGAGGCAGGAGUGGGGAAUAAUGCACGAUAGGCGGAAGCCUGAAGCAGCGACGCCGCGUGGGGGAUGACGGCCUUCGGGUUGUAAACUCCUUUCGACCGCGAGGAAGCCACCUGGUUGGAAGGGUGGUGACGGUAGUGGUAGAAGAAGCACCGGCUAACUACGUG